AGUUAAAAGAAAAAGUAUGAUUUCGCAUACUAAUUACGCAUAAAUUAGCAUAAUCACUUAAUAGCAAUUCGCAUAAAAUAAGUUACUAUACAAUAUUCUAGAUUAUGUCCCAAGCAACCCGCGUGCCAAUUUUCAGCGCAAUCGUGCAGUCGACGGCCGAGAUCUUAGGGGGGGGGCCUCCCCGGCCAUAGGAACUCCCAAAAUACCCCAGCCUAGAUAAGGUUAAGAGAGAUCAAAUUUGGUUUUCAGGUUUAGCCAUCAAGAGUAAUAAAUGAAUGCGCAUAGUGUGAAUGAUGGGCCGGGGUAAGGGACAUAAAGUAUAAGUAUAUUUAGAGAGUUCAAGGAUUUUGUUAUCAAGGUUAAUCAAUCAAUCAUUUUGAGAUCUCAUGAUACUAACUGUCAAACUGAAAUCGUGUUAGGAAGACGGUAAAUGCGGCUUGAAUUAAAAAACAAGGGUAAAAUGGGGUUUAUGAUAUGCACGUGCUGAUUACAGCAAAUAAAUUUAGCAAAAGGUGAAGGACAUAAAGUAUGAGUAUAUUAAGAGAGAAAAAGUUUUGUUUUCAAGGUUUAGCCAACAGGAUUAAAUGCGCACAACGCACAUAGUCUAAAUGAGGGUGGGGGACAUAAAAUAUGAAUAUAUUAAGAAAGAUGAAGAUUGGCUUUCAAGGUUAAUGAAGCGUUUUGAGAUCUCAUGAAUAUACGUGGUUAGCUGUCAAGCUGAAAUCAUAUUAGGAAGAUGGUAAGUGCGGCUUCAAUUAAAAAACAAGGGGAAAAUAGGUUUUUAAUAUACACGUUCAAAUUACAACAUAUGAAUUCAUCAAAAGGUGGGGGACAUAAAGUAUGAGUAUAUCAAGAGAGAUGAAGUUUUGUUUUCAACAUUUAGCCAAAAAGGUAAAAUGCGCAAAACAAGCAUAGUGUGAAUGGGGGUGGGAGACAUAAAGUAUGAGUAUAUUAAGAGAGAUGAAGUUUUGUUUUCAAGGUUUAGCCAACAAGAUUAAAUGCGCGGAACGCACAUAGUGUGAAUGGGGUGGGGGACAUAAAGUAUGACUAUUAAGAGAGAUGAAGUUUUGUUUUCAAGGUUUAGCCAACAAGAUUAAAUGCACGGAACAAGCAUAACAUACAGAGAUGAAGUUCUGUUUUCAAAGUUUAGCCAACAAAAUUAAAUGGGCAAAACAAGCAUAGUGUGAAUGGGGGUGGGGGACAUAAAGUAUGAGUAUAUUAAGACAGAUGAAGGAAUUUGGUAUCAAGGUUUCCCUAUCCAACAGAGUUAAAAGGAAGUGGGGGACUUAAAGUAUGACUAUAUUAAGAAGAUGGUUGGCUUUCAACUCAAGGUUAAUAAAUCGUUUUGAGAUCUCAUGAAUUUACAUGGCUAGCUGUCAAGUUGAAAUCGUAUUUGGAAGGACAAGGUAUAUAAGUGCAUGGACCUACAGAUCCAUGAUAAGUGCGACUUGACUUUAAAAAAAAACAACAGGCAAGUAAGCUUCCACGUAUGAAUUUCGCCCACAUAUAAAUAUGAUAAGUGACGAGGUUAUGAUAAGUGACAAGGUUUUGAACAAAAUGGUAAGGAACUGAGAUCGAAAAUCUGUUAGUGUUGAGAGAGACAUAAAGUAUGGGAAUGCCCCAACAUUUCAUAUUUUUAAUGUAAUCCACAGACAAAAACAAGGCUUCAAAAGAUAAAAUGUCCGGACACCCGACCACCCAUCCUACCGGUGUAGCCUAGCCCUAGCCGGGCCUAGGCCUAGGCAACGACGCAUCAAGCCAGGGCCAGGCCGAAAGCUUAUUUGAACACAGAUAACGCACAUCUACCUUAGAUUGCAGAAGGAUGGGGGGUUGGGUGUCCGGACACUUUAUCUUUAAUACUUACGUCAUCUUUUGAGAGAUUGUUGAUAUAAAUCUCUACAAUUGUCGUCGGUAACUCCUUACAAAUUACUUUCGAACAGAGGAAAGUCUUCUCUCCUUUAGACAUCUCUGCAAACGUUUCAAGGAGAUAAAAACUCCUUCGUUGGAAAUUACUUGGAAAACUUGAAGAAGUCGCCAUUUUGCCUUGGUUGCACAAUGUCAUAUACGAUAGUAGGUACAAUUAGUACAAUAGGUAUACGGUACGAUUCUCGACCGAUAUCAAGACAACUGGGGUGGUAUUCUGACAUCCAUUUUAUCUCAGAUAAAAUAAAAUAUUUUAUCUCCGUUAAAAUCAGUGAGAUAAAAUAUUCUUAAAUCUCUCCGAAUUAGUAUUCUGAAAACCAAUUUAUCUUUAUUUUAUUUUCGAAAGAUACACCUACUUUUCAAACAACAUCCAAUGAGAAACGCUCUUUUUAGCACUCUCGUCUUGU
Molecule: long non-coding RNA, 2330 nt
Filed under: Lytechinus variegatus (green sea urchin)
Lineage: Eukaryota; Metazoa; Echinodermata; Echinoidea; Temnopleuroida; Toxopneustidae
Description: uncharacterized LOC121422195
Source: RNAcentral